UUAAGUGACGAUAGCCUAGGAGAUACACCUGUACCCAUGCCGAACACAGCAGUUAAGCCCUAGAACGCCUGAAGUAGUUGGGGGUUGCCCCCUGUUAGAUACGGUAGUCGCUUAGC
This is a non-coding RNA of Streptococcus suis 05ZYH33, 116 nucleotides long. The record is from Rfam. NCBI's taxonomy places the organism in Bacteria, Bacillati, Bacillota, Bacilli, Lactobacillales, Streptococcaceae.